This 274-nucleotide ribosomal RNA is filed under the name uncultured bacterium. RNAcentral's name for it is "partial 16S ribosomal RNA". It matches the Rfam family "Bacterial small subunit ribosomal RNA", at positions 523 to 796 of the family's 1533-position model. The record is from RNAcentral.
AUACAGAGGGUGCGAGCGUUAAUGGGAAUUACUGGGCGUAAAGCGCGCGUAGGCGGCUUAUUAAGUCAGAUGAGAAAUCCCCGGGCUCAACCUGGGAACUGCAUCUGAUACUGGUAAGCUAGAGUUUUGGAGAGGGAAGUAGAAUUUCAGGUGUAGCGGUGAAAUGCAUAGAGAUCUGAAGGAAUACCAGUGGCGAAGGCGACUUCCUGGCCAAAAACUGACGCUGAGGUGCGAAAGCGUGGGUAGCAAACGGGAUUAGAAACCCCAGUAGUCC